AUUGAACGCUGGCGGCAUGCUUUACACAUGCAAGUCGGACGGCAGCACAGAGAAGCUUGCUUCUUGGGUGGCGAGUGGCGAACGGGUGAGUAACAUAUCGGAACGUACCGGGCAGUGGGGGAUAACUAAUCGAAAGAUUAGCUAAUACCGCAUAUUUUCUGAGGAAGAAAGCAGGGGACCAUUUGGCCUUGCGCUGUUUGAGCGGCCGAUAUCUGAUUAGCUAGUUGGUGGGGUAAAGGCCUACCAAGGCGACGAUCAGUAGCGGGUCUGAGAGGAUGAUCCGCCACACUGGGACUGAGACACGGCCCAGACUCCUACGGGAGGCAGCAGUGGGGAAUUUUGGACAAUGGGCGCAAGCCUGAUCCAGCCAUGCCGCGUGUCUGAAGAAGGCCUUCGGGUUGUAAAGGACUUUUGUCAGGGAAGAAAAGGGCGGGGUUAAUACCCCUGUCUGA
Molecule: ribosomal RNA, 452 nt
Filed under: Neisseria flava
Lineage: Bacteria; Pseudomonadati; Pseudomonadota; Betaproteobacteria; Neisseriales; Neisseriaceae
Description: bacterial SSU rRNA
Rfam family: Bacterial small subunit ribosomal RNA
Source: RNAcentral